This 134-nucleotide ribosomal RNA is filed under the name Escherichia coli. RNAcentral's name for it is "partial 23S ribosomal RNA". It matches the Rfam family "Bacterial large subunit ribosomal RNA", at positions 1 to 124 of the family's 2925-position model. The record is from RNAcentral. Lineage: Bacteria; Pseudomonadati; Pseudomonadota; Gammaproteobacteria; Enterobacterales; Enterobacteriaceae. RNAcentral also lists the same sequence under 1 other name.
GGGUUGUGAGGUUAAGCGACUAAGCGUACACGGUGGAUGCCCUGGCAGUCAGAGGCGAUGAAGGACGUGCUAAUCUGCGAUAAGCGUCGGUAAGGUGAUAUGAACCGUUAUAACCGGCGAUUUCCGAAUGGGGA